GCUCGCUUUGGCGGUACAUAUGCUAAAAUUGGAACGAUACAGAGAAGAUUAGCAUUGCCCCUGAGCAGGGAUGACACGCAAAAUCGUGAUGCUAGCAGUCCUGUU
Molecule: small nuclear RNA, 105 nt
Filed under: Trichobilharzia regenti
Lineage: Eukaryota; Metazoa; Platyhelminthes; Trematoda; Strigeidida; Schistosomatidae
Source: RNAcentral